RNAcentral lists this long non-coding RNA (713 nucleotides) under Anser brachyrhynchus (Pink-footed goose). RNAcentral describes it as "lncRNA (ENSABRG00000005832.1)". Lineage: Eukaryota; Metazoa; Chordata; Aves; Anseriformes; Anatidae. The record is from RNAcentral.
GCAGAUAUCCAUCAAAACUAACAAGUUACAAAACUAAUUAAAUUCCCAGCUGCUUUUAGGCAAAUGAGUAGCAACAUUAAUUAGGAUGGCUUUUUCCCAUCUUCACUGGUCAGAGGGCACUGGCCUUUUGUUUUGCAUUCAGACUGCACUAUUUGAAACUCUCUCUGCUAUCUCAGGAGGAAAUCACUGUAAAUAAACACUUUCAGGGAAGGAGUCUGGAAGUGUCUGAUCUUAUGAGUAUGACAUGCCAUUAUUUAUGUUAGAACAGGGUUCAGAAUUUUGUAUGCCCAAAGGACCCUGGUCUCAGCAAUAAAUUUUUCUGUCUUUUCCCUCCCCUCCCCUCCCCGCACUGCUUCACUUUACCUGGUGCAUUAGCCGUGAGCACUCCUGGAGAAGGACCUUCCAGGCAGGUAGGCAUCAUGGGAGUUCGUGGUUGGUGCUCAGCUAUCCGGAAUGGGCAGUUGUACACUGGUUCCUAGAAGAAACCUUCAUGCUGUGCACUGAGGUCUGUACUUCCAGAUGUUUGGACAGAUGCUGUUGACCAAGCACAGUAACCAAGAAAAGCAUAUCUGAAUCCUUCAUGAGCACUGAAGUUCUUUUGGCUCUAUUCAAUUUCUUCUACCAUAAUGAUCUCAAUAGUAUUGAAAAGGCUUCUAAACAGAAACUAUUACGUUAACUAAAUUAUUACUUUGUGGUUAUUAAGGACACGAAUA